GAUCUAUCUGCCCUAAAAUUUUCAGAUGAAACAGCAGUAAUGUUCAGAAAAGCAAGAUUUACAAAUAAGUCAACAUGACUGAAAUGAUCAAUUGACUCCCUAAGGAGUUAUUGUCCUUUAUAGUCAAUUUUUAACAAUUUUCAUAAAAUUUGUAAAUUUUUACUAACAUUUUCCACUGAAACUACUGGGCCAAGUUCAUUAUAGAUAGAUAUAAUUGUAAGCAGCAAGGAUGUUCAGUAAAGUAAGAUGUACAAACACAUCACCAUCACCAAAAC
This 275-nucleotide long non-coding RNA is filed under the name Mytilus galloprovincialis (Mediterranean mussel). Lineage: Eukaryota; Metazoa; Mollusca; Bivalvia; Mytilida; Mytilidae. The record is from RNAcentral.